AGAGUUUGAUCCUGGCUCAGGACGAACGCUGGCGGCGUGCUUAACACAUGCAAGUCACGGGGGCCCGCAAGGGCAACCGGCGAACGGGUGCGUAACACGUGAGCAACCUACCUCGAUGUGGGGGAUAGCCGGCCCAACGGCCGGGUAAUACCGCAUACGAUCUGUGGGGGGAGUCCCCUGCAGAGGAAACCUCCGGGGCAUCGAGAGGGGCUCGCGGCCUAUCAGCUAGUUGGCGAGGUAACGGCUCACCAAGGCGACGACGGGUAGCUGGUCUGAGAGGAUGGCCAGCCACAUUGGGACUGAGAGACGGCCCAGACUCCUACGGGAGGCAGCAGUGGGGAAUCUUGCGCAACGGCCGAAAGGCUGACGCAGCGACGCCGCGUGUGGGAUGAAGCAUUUCGGUGUGUAAACCACUGUUGCCCGGGACGAACAGCUUCUUUCGAGGAGCCUGACGGUACCGGGUGAGGAAGCACCGGCUAACUCCGUGCCAGCAGCCGCGGUAAUACGGAGGGUGCGAGCGUUGUCCGGAAUCACUGGGCGUAAAGGGCGCGUAGGCGGCGCGGGUAGUCAACGGUGAAAGCUUGGGGCUCAACCCCGAGUCGGCCGUCGAUACUCCCGCGCUUGAGCACUGUAGAGGCAGGUGGAAUUCCGGGUGUAGCGGUGGAAUGCAGAGAUCCGGAAGAACACCGGUGGCGAAGGCGGCCUGCUGGGCAGUAGCUGACGCUGAGGCGCGACAGCGUGGGGAGCAAACAGGAUUAGAUACCCCUGUAGUCC
This 774-nucleotide ribosomal RNA is filed under the name uncultured bacterium. RNAcentral describes it as "bacterial SSU rRNA". It matches the Rfam family "Bacterial small subunit ribosomal RNA", at positions 8 to 796 of the family's 1533-position model. The record is from RNAcentral.